Molecule: ribosomal RNA, 271 nt
Filed under: uncultured bacterium
Lineage: Bacteria
Description: partial 16S ribosomal RNA
Rfam family: Bacterial small subunit ribosomal RNA
Source: RNAcentral
GACGAACCGUGCGAACGUUGUUCGGAAUCACUGGGCUUAAAGGGCGCGUAGGCGGGUGGCAAAGUCAGGGGUGAAAUCUUUCGGCUCAACCGGAAAAUUGCCUUUGAUACUGGCCGUCUUGAGUGAGGUAGGGGCAUGUGGAACUUCCGGUGGAGCGGUGAAAUGUGUUGAUAUCGGAAGGAACGCCGGUGGCGAAAGCGACGUGCUGGACCUUUUCUGACGCUGAGGCGCGAAAGCUAGGGUAGCGAACGGGAUUAGAAACCCCGGUAGU